GAUGAACGCUGGCGGCGUGCUUAACACAUGCAAGUCGAACGGGACUUACUUUAUUGAAACUUCGGUCGAUUUAAUUUAAGUCUAGUGGCGGACGGGUGAGUAACGCGUGGGUAACCUGCCUCACACUGGGGGAUAACAGUCAGAAAUGACUGCUAAUACCGCAUAAGCCCACGGCCCGGCAUCGGGCUGAGGGAAAAGGAUUUAUUCGCUUCAGGAUGGACUCGCGUCCAAUUAGCUAGUUGGUGAGGUAACGGCUCACCAAGGCGACGAUCAGUAGCCGACCUGAGAGGGUGAUCGGCCACAUUGGGACUGAGAUACGGCCCAG
This 325-nucleotide ribosomal RNA is filed under the name uncultured bacterium. Its description in RNAcentral is "bacterial SSU rRNA". It matches the Rfam family "Bacterial small subunit ribosomal RNA", at positions 28 to 334 of the family's 1533-position model. The record is from RNAcentral.